UUGGAGGGUUUAUGAGUUUUUGUAUAAUGUUUUGUUUCUUUUUCUUUUUUGUGGGUAUGCUUUUGUGUGCUUAGGAAUAUAUUUUUUUUUGUUUUUUUCCCAAUAACUAAUAUCAUAGUUAAGUUCCGAUUAAGGGAGGAAGGAAGAGCCACAAAAAAAAUUGAUCAAGUAAAACAGGAAGAGUAACAAAGAAGAAUCAGAUGAAUGGAGGAAGAAGACCAAAAGAUUGAAGAGUAAAAU
RNAcentral lists this long non-coding RNA (240 nucleotides) under Lathyrus oleraceus (garden pea). RNAcentral's name for it is "Pisum sativum (pea) long non-coding RNA (PSAT_LNC024386)". The record is from RNAcentral. Lineage: Eukaryota; Viridiplantae; Streptophyta; Magnoliopsida; Fabales; Fabaceae.